GCAUACUUCAUUGGCCGAGCAAAGUUCAGAGAUGAGCUCACCAAGGGCCUUGACUACAGUCGGCUAUGAGAUCGGAUACCAGACUCUAGCACCAUAGAUCUGAAUGACUGGAUAGUAGCUCCCUUUACUGUCCAACAAUUCAAGUUAUGGUGGGCCGAAUGGAAACAGUACCUGUUCUGCGCCUCCGCAUCAACGUACUGCAACCUCUUGGAUCCAGCCAACAUCGAUCCGAAC
RNAcentral lists this long non-coding RNA (234 nucleotides) under Setaria italica (foxtail millet). RNAcentral's name for it is "long non-coding RNA (SITA_LNC002113)". Lineage: Eukaryota; Viridiplantae; Streptophyta; Magnoliopsida; Poales; Poaceae. The record is from RNAcentral.